This 480-nucleotide long non-coding RNA is filed under the name Drosophila guanche. The record is from RNAcentral. Lineage: Eukaryota; Metazoa; Arthropoda; Insecta; Diptera; Drosophilidae.
UGCAUUCAAGGUUGGAAGACUUAAUUGAUGAGCGUGUAGAAAAUAUACAAAAACAAAAAAAAAAACGUGGUGAAAAGUUUGCAAAACCAUAAAAGGGAACAUAAACCAAAUAAAAACCAAUAUAAAAGUGUUGUGGCUGCAAAGACGAAAACUUAAAAACCAACCCCUGGAUAAGGUACGACAAGAAAAAAAUGAAAAAGUGACCUUAUUACAUAAUUCCAUGUAUGUACUGUACAUAGGUUAUGAUCCACGUGUGGCAGGAAAUUGCUGACCUGGCCUGACCCUCGGUCUCGGAGGGGGGGUCCGCUCCAGUACCACGAUCAUCCGUCCCUCUUUUUGGUGCCACCGGACCUUGCCUGCAGGCGAAAAAACGGAUGGACUUGGCGAUCGGGACCGAGUUUUUUUAUACAUAUAUCUCACGCGCAACUAUUAAACCAUCUAUUAUAUUAUAUCACCGCGCCUUGUGUAAAGAAAUGUUGG